This 723-nucleotide long non-coding RNA is filed under the name Rattus norvegicus (Norway rat). RNAcentral's name for it is "long non-coding RNA NONRATT016913". The record is from RNAcentral. Lineage: Eukaryota; Metazoa; Chordata; Mammalia; Rodentia; Muridae.
GUCAGAGAAGACCUCCAGGAACAUUGAGAGAGUGGGUUUCAGUCUUGGACAGGGGGGUUGCAGAAAAUAAUUCUCGUUUUAGAAAACCAAGUCAGUGGUGUGGACAUGCUUGAGAGACUUUCUGAGAGUUCCGAGAUGGACCAGUGGACUAGAACGAUGAGGGACAAAGGGUUGGAGUUCAAGGUACUCGUUACGUGUGACGAGGAAGUGAAGCCCAUUCCAUGCCUUGCUGAGAAAGGGCCCUGACAUGGAGUUACUCCUUUUCCUGUAACCCAGCCUGACAAAGUCCAGGCUGUCUGAAGAAGAACCAACUUAGACUUUUCAGAGGCUCUUUGCCUAUUUGCCAAGUUGAAGGAAAUUUUGGAUUUGAGUUCUUUCGAGCCAGCCCCUAUUCUGCUAGCUCCUCUUUUUGACCACCUUUCAGUAGUCAAUAUUAAAAUUCUUUUUGUUCUCCGAGAGUAGUUUGGAGGCCUCAUUUCAUCCUGCCUGGCCUGUGCCCUGUUCUUCCUGGUCUGGGUAGUAUCUGUUCCUAGUUCAGCAAGUGAUACCAAGGCAGUAUGUGGUACUAUCGUCCAGUCAUACCCAGCGGUUCAUUGCCAAUUCUAUGACUGAUUUGUUAGGUGACUUCCGUCAAGCUACCUAAUAACUUAGCUUUAUUUUCUUUAUGAUAAAAACAGCAACAUCAUUUAGGGCUGCUUUUAGUAUUAUGAUAUUUCUAAAUCC